Molecule: long non-coding RNA, 962 nt
Organism: Perognathus longimembris pacificus (Pacific pocket mouse)
Lineage: Eukaryota; Metazoa; Chordata; Mammalia; Rodentia; Heteromyidae
Exons: 3
Source: RefSeq, a predicted model, not a curated record
GCUAAGGAACAGUGCCUAGGCCCUGAGUUCAGGCCCCAUUACUGGCACACACAUGUAUUCAUGCAAGUAAAUUUGAUUUUAUAUGGUAGAAUUGUAAAUGCAACAGUAAAGGCUUUAAAGCAUACAGUUAGCCAGUCGCCAGUGGCUCUGUCUAUAACAUUCAAUACUCAGGAACUGAGAUCUAGAGGAUGGCAGUUCCAAAGCUAACCAGUGUUGAAGAGCCCAUAAAAACUUUAAUAUAACCAGCAAAAAGACAAGUUUGAGGUGUGGCUCAAGUGGUAGAGUAUAAGUCUUAGCAGGCAAGUUGAGCAAGUUCCAGGAUCUGAAUUCAAACUCUAGUACACACACACACACACACACACACACACACACACACACACACACACGAUCCAGGAAAAGUGAAGUGCAUGAUAAAAAUAUAAUUCCAUCUCUUUUCUAGACAGUAAAAAUUCUGCAUGCUAACAUCUAUUCUAUACUUGCUAGAUAUCUGAGACUGUGCUUGACAUUGAUUUCAGAAAAAAUAAUCCUUACAGGCACAUUACAAAUGUGUUUUCAUCGUUUAAAAAAAAGAAAAACAAAAAACAACUCUAUUUUAAAAUAACUCUUCAGUUGUCAUUGAAUUUUCAAAGAAUGGUUUAAUAGCGAAUAGCUACAAUAGCAAAUAGGUACUAACUCAUGAUUACAGGCUAUCCAGAGAACACCCACCUCCUAACUGCUUCUCCCAGUCAUUGGCUAUACAGAUAAGACAUGGAACUAGUCUUCUAUACAGAUAAGAAGGUGGAGCCCUAUAUGGAUUCGAACCCAGGUCUGACUCCAGGCUAGCACUACCCUACCCCAUUUAGUUUCAUUAGAUUAGAUCAUAUUAACCUUGAUACAUUUCUUUGACCUCUAGAAAGCUCUUCAAGAGUAUGGGCAGUCCUUUCUCCUUGCUGUAGGCUUUCAGCACCUGACAAUCCUCUCUG